AAUAAAAUAAACUAAAAAAUAAAGCAAUAAAAAAGGUAAAAGAAAUAAUAAAAGGGAGGGGGAACACUAUCAACGCAAGAGGUAAAAGAAUUAUAAAAAAAUAAAAGAAAGAACAAAAAUAAAUAAAUAAAGCAAUAAUAAGAAAAGAAUAAAUAAUAAAUAUAUACAAAAAACAAAAAUAGGCUAAAAAUUGAGGGUGUAGUUAGAAAAAUACUUUAGACCCAAAGAAGGGAGUCCCACAAGGGUGCAUUGAGCAAUUAGGAGGUCUAAGGGAGACU
RNAcentral lists this long non-coding RNA (278 nucleotides) under Lathyrus oleraceus (garden pea). RNAcentral describes it as "Pisum sativum (pea) long non-coding RNA (PSAT_LNC001803)". Lineage: Eukaryota; Viridiplantae; Streptophyta; Magnoliopsida; Fabales; Fabaceae. The record is from RNAcentral.